AGUGGGGAAUAUUGCACAAUGGAGGAAACUCUGAUGCAGCAACGCCGCGUGGAGGAUGACACAUUUCGGUGCGUAAACUCCUUUUAUAUAAGAAGAUAAUGACGGUAUUAUAUGAAUAAGCACCGGCUAACUCCGUGCCAGCAGCCGCGGUAAUACGGGGGGUGCAAGCGUUACUCGGAAUCACUGGGCGUAAAGAGCAUGUAGGCUGGUAGUUAAGUUGGAAGUGAAAUCCUAUGGCUCAACCAUAGAACUGCUUCCAAAACUGACUGCCUAGAGUAUGGGAGAGGUAGAUGGAAUUUCUGGUGUAGGGGUAAAAUCCGUAGAGAUCAGAAGGAAUACCGAUUGCGAAGGCGAUCUACUGGAACAUUACUGACGCUGAGAUGCGAAAGCGUGGGGAGCAAACAGGAUUAGAUACCCUGGUAGUCCACGCCCUAAACGAUGCACACUAGUUGUUGCAAGGCUUGACCUUGCAGUAAUGCAGUUAACACAGUAAGUGUGCCGCCUGGGGAGUACGGUCGCAAGAUUAAAACUCAAAGGAAUAGACGGGGACCCGCACAAGCGGUGGAGCAUGUGGUUUAAUUCGACGAUACGCGAAGAACCUUACCUGGCCUUGACAUAGUAAGAAUCUUUUAGAGAUAGAAGAGUGCUAGUUUACUAGAACUUACAUACAGGUGCUGCACGGCUGUCGUCAGCUCGUGUCGUGAGAUGUUGGGUUAAGUCCCGCAACGAGCGCAACCCUCGUGUUUAGUUACUAACAGUUCGGCUGAGGACUCUAGACAGACUGCCUGGGCAACCAGGAGGAAGGUGAGGACGACGUCAAGUCAUCAUGGCCCUUACGGCCAGGGCUACACACGUGCUACAAUGGGGUAUACAAAGAGCCGCGAUACCGUGAGGUGGAGCAAAUCUCAUAAAAUAUCUCCCAGUUCGGAUUGAAGUCUGCAACUCGACUUCAUGAAGUUGGAAUCGCUAGUAAUCGUAGAUCAGCAAUGCUACGGUGAAUACGU
This 1004-nucleotide ribosomal RNA is filed under the name uncultured bacterium. RNAcentral describes it as "bacterial SSU rRNA". It matches the Rfam family "Bacterial small subunit ribosomal RNA", at positions 353 to 1371 of the family's 1533-position model. The record is from RNAcentral.